This 240-nucleotide ribosomal RNA is filed under the name Triticum aestivum (bread wheat). Its description in RNAcentral is "partial small subunit ribosomal RNA". The record is from RNAcentral. Lineage: Eukaryota; Viridiplantae; Streptophyta; Magnoliopsida; Poales; Poaceae.
AUGAAACAACAACUGGUACCGUAUAGAAGGGGCCAUAAACUGGAGAGUCUUGACCAAUUCGAAAGAUCAUUUGGUGUAGUUGAAAUAACAGAAUUGGAACUUGUUUGGUCAAGUAAGGGAAAAUCAAUCAAAGUAUUGUUAGACGGCCUACCUGAACAGGCUUUUUAUUUGGUGGGUAACAUCGAUGAAGCUAGCACGAAAGCUAUAACCUUAGAAGAGGAGAACAAAUCGAAGAAAUGA